RNAcentral lists this ribosomal RNA (497 nucleotides) under uncultured bacterium. RNAcentral's name for it is "partial 16S ribosomal RNA". It matches the Rfam family "Bacterial small subunit ribosomal RNA", at positions 28 to 507 of the family's 1533-position model. The record is from RNAcentral.
GACGAACGCUGGCGGCGUGCUUAACACAUGCAAGUCGAACGGAGAAGCGCCGUCCUUUUUGGUUGGUGUGGAGGAGCGGCGGAGGGGUGAGCAAGAGGAUAGUAACCUUCCCCCUUCUUCUGGAUAACGGCACGAAAGCGUGGCUAAUACGGGAUAUUCUGAGUCUGUCGCAUGAUUGGUCAGGGACAGAUAUUGUGUCGGUGGGGGAUGGGUCCGCGCCGUAUUAGCUUGUUGGUGGGGUGAUGGCCUACCAAGGCGGCGAUGGGUAGCCGACGUGAGAGGCGGGUAGCCGGCCCCACAGGGGCUGAGGCGCCACGCAGACUCCGACAGGAGGCAGCAGUGGAGAGUAUGGAACAGUGGGCAGAAGGCUGAAGCAGCGCCGCGGCGGGGGGGAUGGAGGCCUGCGCGUUGUGAACCUCUUUCGGUAGUGAAGCAGGCUUGCCUCGUUUGUGGGUGGGUUGACGGUAGCUGGUUAAGAAGCGCCGGCUAACUACGUG